RNAcentral lists this ribosomal RNA (109 nucleotides) under Bacillus anthracis str. A0488. RNAcentral describes it as "small subunit ribosomal RNA, 5' domain". It matches the Rfam family "Bacterial large subunit ribosomal RNA", at positions 2110 to 2218 of the family's 2925-position model. The record is from RNAcentral. Lineage: Bacteria; Bacillati; Bacillota; Bacilli; Caryophanales; Bacillaceae.
CCUGAUAUUGAAUUUUGGUACAGUUUGUACAGGAUAGGCGGGAGCCUUUGAAACCGGAGCGCUAGCUUCGGUGGAGGCGCUGGUGGGAUACCGCCCUGACUGUAUUGAA